Molecule: ribosomal RNA, 565 nt
Filed under: uncultured bacterium
Lineage: Bacteria
Description: bacterial SSU rRNA
Rfam family: Bacterial small subunit ribosomal RNA
Source: RNAcentral
AAGAACCUUACCUGGUCUUGACAUCCACGGAAGUUUUCAGAGAUGAGUAUGUGCCUUCGGGAACCGUGAGACAGGUGCUGCAUGGCUGUCGUCAGCUCGUGUUGUGAAAUGUUGGGUUAAGUCCCGCAACGAGCGCAACCCUUAUCCUUUGUUGCCAGCGGUCCGGCCGGGAACUCAAAGGAGACUGCCAGUGAUAAACUGGAGGAAGGUGGGGAUGACGUCAAGUCAUCAUGGCCCUUACGACCAGGGCUACACACGUGCUACAAUGGCGCAUACAAAGAGAAGCGACCUCGCGAGAGCAAGCGGACCUCAUAAAGUGCGUCGUAGUCCGGAUUGGAGUCUGCAACUCGACUCCAUGAAGUCGGAAUCGCUAGUAAUCGUGGAUCAGAAUGCCACGGUGAAUACGUUCCCGGGCCUUGUACACACCGCCCGUCACACCAUGGGAGUGGGUUGCAAAAGAAGUAGGUAGCUUAACCUUCGGGAGGGCGCUUACCACUUUGUGAUUCAUGACUGGGGUGAAGUCGUAACAAGGUAACCGUAGGGGAACCUGCGGCUGGAUCACCUC